This is an unclassified non-coding RNA of Cavia porcellus (domestic guinea pig), 360 nucleotides long. Its record names the gene 7SK. It matches the Rfam family "7SK RNA". Rfam says of the family: 7SK was discovered as an abundant small nuclear RNA in the mid-70s but a possible function has only recently been suggested. Two independent studies have found that 7SK RNA binds the CDK9/cyclin T complex (known as elongation factor P-TEFb). NCBI's taxonomy places the organism in Eukaryota, Metazoa, Chordata, Mammalia, Rodentia, Caviidae. The record is from Ensembl.
GGGUGUGAGGGUGAUCUGGCUGCAAUAUCUUGUCAUCCCCUUAAUUGCAGGAGUUGAUUGGGCUGAUCCGACUGCCUAGGCAGGUGUCCCCUUCCUCCGUGGCCACUCACUCCUUAUGCAUCUCUCCUGAGGCUGCUGCAGGGUGGAGUAGGACAAGCACCCUACUAGAGGAGAACGGGUUCCUGGUUCCUUGGUCAGGGGUAUAGGAGGUGCUGCACUCCCCUGCUAGAAUCUCCAGACAAGUUCUCAAGAAUCCUGGUCUGCCCUGAUGAACACCUUAAAACCCUUCAGUGUACAAAGAAGGAUGCAUCAGCUGAGAAGGAACAACUGGGGAACCAGGAUGCAGAAGUUCCCUAGAGU